Molecule: ribosomal RNA, 1455 nt
Filed under: Salmonella enterica subsp. enterica serovar Typhi str. CT18
Lineage: Bacteria; Pseudomonadati; Pseudomonadota; Gammaproteobacteria; Enterobacterales; Enterobacteriaceae
Description: partial 23S ribosomal RNA
Rfam family: Bacterial large subunit ribosomal RNA
Source: RNAcentral
GGGUUGUGAGGUUAAGCGACUAAGCGUACACGGUGGAUGCCCUGGCAGUCAGAGGCGAUGAAGGGCGUGCUAAUCUGCGAUAAGCGCCGGUAAGGUGAUAUGAACCGUUAUAACCGGCGAUACCCGAAUGGGGAAACCCAGUGUGAUUCGUCACACUAUCAUUAACUGAAUCCAUAGGUUAAUGAGGCGAACCGGGGGAACUGAAACAUCUAAGUACCCCGAGGAAAAGAAAUCAACCGAGAUUCCCCCAGUAGCGGCGAGCGAACGGGGAGGAGCCCAGAGCCUGAAUCAGCAUGUGUGUUAGUGGAAGCGUCUGGAAAGGCGCGCGAUACAGGGUGACAGCCCCGUACACAAAAGCGCAUAUGCUGUGAGCUCGAUGAGUAGGGCGGGACACGUGGUAUCCUGUCUGAAUAUGGGGGGACCAUCCUCCAAGGCUAAAUACUCCUGACUGACCGAUAGUGAACCAGUACCGUGAGGGAAAGGCGAAAAGAACCCCGGCGAGGGGAGUGAAAAAGAACCUGAAACCGUGUACGUACAAGCAGUGGGAGCCCCACCACUAAGCCAGUGGUGAACUCCACAUACGCAUCCUUUGCUGAGGAGACGGUUAACGGAGCGAAAGCGACGUUCAACCUCAAAAGAAGCAGAGGGGGCUUAGUGGUGGGGUGACUGCGUACCUUUUGUAUAAUGGGUCAGCGACUUAUAUUCUGUAGCAAGGUUAACUGUAUAGGGGAGCCGGAGGGAAACCGAGUCUUAACCGGGCGUUAAGUUGCAGGGUAUAGACCCGAAACCCGGUGAUCUAGCCAUGGGCAGGUUGAAGGUUGGGUAACACUAACUGGAGGACCGAACCGACUAAUGUUGAAAAAUUAGCGGAUGACCUGUGGCUGGGGGUGAAAGGCCAAUCAAACCGGGAGAUAGCUGGUUCUCCCCGAAAGCUAUUUAGGUAGCGCCUCGUGAAUUCAUCUCCGGGGGUAGAGCACUGUUUCGGCUAGGGGGCCAUCCCGGCUUACCAACCCGAUGCAAACUGCGAAUACCGGAGAAUGUUAUCACGGGAGACACACGGCGGGUGCUAAUGUCCGUCGUGAAGAGGGAAACAACCCAGACCGCCAGCUAAGGUCCCAAAGUCAUGGUUAAGUGGGAAACGAUGUGGGAAGGCCCAGACAGCCAGGAUGUUGGCUUAGAAGCAGCCAUCAUUUAAAGAAAGCGUAAUAGCUCACUGGUCGAGUCGGCCUGCGCGGAAGAUGUAACGGGGCUAAACCAUGCACCGAAGCUGCGGCAGCGACACCGUGUGUUGUUGGGUAGGGGAGCGUUCUGUAAGCCUGUGAAGGUGUGCUGUGAGGCAUGCUGGAGGUAUCAGAAGUGCGAAUGCUGACAUAAGUAACGAUAAAGCGGGUGAAAAGCCCGCUCGCCGGAAGACCAAGGGUUCCUGUCCAACGUUAAUCGGGGCAGGGUGAGUCG